AUUGAACGCUGGCGGCAGGCCUAACACAUGCAAGUCGAGCGAGCGGCGGACGGGUGAGUAAUGUCUGGGAAACUGCCUGAUGGGGGGGAAAAACACCGGGAAACGGUAGCAAAAACCCAAAACAAUCAGAGUUGCCCAGAUGGGAUUGGCUGGUGGGUGGGGUAACGGCUCACCUAGGCGACGGUCCCUAGCUGGUCUGAGCGGAGGACCAGCCACACUGGAAUGGAGACACGGUCCGGACUCCUACGGGAGGCAGCGGUGGGGAAUAUUGCACAAUGGGCGCAAGCCUGAUGCAGCCAUGCCGCGUGGGUGAAGAGGGCCUUCGGGUUGUAAGGCACUUUCAGCGGGGAGGCGUUACCCGCAGAAGAAGCACCGGCUAACUCCGUGCCAGCAGCCGCGGUAAUUC
Molecule: ribosomal RNA, 406 nt
Filed under: uncultured bacterium
Lineage: Bacteria
Description: partial 16S ribosomal RNA
Rfam family: Bacterial small subunit ribosomal RNA
Source: RNAcentral